CCUACGGGAGGCAGCAGUGGGGAAUUUUGGACAAUGGGGGCAACCCUGAUCCAGCAAUGCCGCGUGAGUGAAGAAGGCCUUCGGGUUGUAAAGCUCUUUCAGUUGAGAAGAAAAGAUUGUGACUAAUAAUUGCAAUUCAUGACGGUAUCAACAGAAGAAGCACCGGCUAACUACGUGCCAGCAGCCGCGGUAAU
RNAcentral lists this ribosomal RNA (194 nucleotides) under uncultured bacterium. RNAcentral describes it as "partial 16S ribosomal RNA". It matches the Rfam family "Bacterial small subunit ribosomal RNA", at positions 338 to 524 of the family's 1533-position model. The record is from RNAcentral.